CUUCAGCGAGCCCACGAACAGCGGCUCGUCGUCCGGCCGCCCCUGCCCGUAGGCGGCGAUCAGGGCCCGCGCCUC
This 75-nucleotide antisense RNA is filed under the name Streptomyces antibioticus. RNAcentral describes it as "ASpks sRNA". It matches the Rfam family "ASpks TB sRNA". RNAcentral also lists the same sequence under 2 other names. The record is from RNAcentral. Lineage: Bacteria; Bacillati; Actinomycetota; Actinomycetes; Kitasatosporales; Streptomycetaceae.